This 245-nucleotide ribosomal RNA is filed under the name Escherichia coli. RNAcentral describes it as "partial 16S ribosomal RNA". It matches the Rfam family "Bacterial small subunit ribosomal RNA", at positions 99 to 347 of the family's 1533-position model. Lineage: Bacteria; Pseudomonadati; Pseudomonadota; Gammaproteobacteria; Enterobacterales; Enterobacteriaceae. The record is from RNAcentral.
CGGACGGGUGAGUAAUGUCUGGGAAACUGCCUGAUGGAGGGGGAUAACUACUGGAAACGGUAGCUAAUACCGCAUAAUGUCGCAAGACCAAAGAGGGGGACCUUCGGGCCUCUUGCCAUCGGAUGUGCCCAGAUGGGAUUAGCUUGUUGGUGGGGUAACGGCUCACCAAGGCGACGAUCCCUAGCUGGUCUGAGAGGAUGACCAGCCACACUGGAACUGAGACACGGUCCAGACUCCUACGGGAG